This 242-nucleotide ribosomal RNA is filed under the name uncultured bacterium. Its description in RNAcentral is "partial 16S ribosomal RNA". It matches the Rfam family "Bacterial small subunit ribosomal RNA", at positions 94 to 334 of the family's 1533-position model. The record is from RNAcentral.
AGCGGCGGACGGGUGAGUAACGCGUGGGUAACCGUGCCUCAUACAGGGGGAUAACAAGUUGGAAACGGACUGCUAAUACCGCAUAAGCGCACAGUACCGCAUGGUACGGUGUGAAAAACUCCGGUGGUAUGAGAUGGACCCGCGUCUGAUUAGGUAGUUGGUGGGUAACGGCCUACCAAGCCGACGAUCAGUAGCCGACCUGAGAGGGUGACCGGCCACAUUGGGACUGAGACACGGCCCAA